RNAcentral lists this ribosomal RNA (654 nucleotides) under Streptomyces sp. 7CM15. Its description in RNAcentral is "bacterial SSU rRNA". It matches the Rfam family "Bacterial small subunit ribosomal RNA", at positions 119 to 787 of the family's 1533-position model. The record is from RNAcentral. Lineage: Bacteria; Bacillati; Actinomycetota; Actinomycetes; Kitasatosporales; Streptomycetaceae.
GGGCAAUCUGCCCUGCACUCUGGGACAAGCCCUGGAAACGGGGUCUAAUACCGGAUAUGACCGUCUGCCGCAUGGUGGAUGGUGUAAAGCUCCGGCGGUGCAGGAUGAGCCCGCGGCCUAUCAGCUUGUUGGUGAGGUAGUGGCUCACCAAGGCGACGACGGGUAGCCGGCCUGAGAGGGCGACCGGCCACACUGGGACUGAGACACGGCCCAGACUCCUACGGGAGGCAGCAGUGGGGAAUAUUGCACAAUGGGCGAAAGCCUGAUGCAGCGACGCCGCGUGAGGGAUGACGGCCUUCGGGUUGUAAACCUCUUUCAGCAGGGAAGAAGCGAAAGUGACGGUACCUGCAGAAGAAGCGCCGGCUAACUACGUGCCAGCAGCCGCGGUAAUACGUAGGGCGCAAGCGUUGUCCGGAAUUAUUGGGCGUAAAGAGCUCGUAGGCGGCUUGUCACGUCGGUUGUGAAAGCCCGGGGCUUAACCCCGGGUCUGCAGUCGAUACGGGCAGGCUAGAGUUCGGUAGGGGAGAUCGGAAUUCCUGGUGUAGCGGUGAAAUGCGCAGAUAUCAGGAGGAACACCGGUGGCGAAGGCGGAUCUCUGGGCCGAUACUGACGCUGAGGAGCGAAAGCGUGGGGAGCGAACAGGAUUAGAUACCC